RNAcentral lists this ribosomal RNA (450 nucleotides) under uncultured bacterium. RNAcentral describes it as "partial 16S ribosomal RNA". It matches the Rfam family "Bacterial small subunit ribosomal RNA", at positions 354 to 796 of the family's 1533-position model. The record is from RNAcentral.
GUGGGGAAUUUUGGACAAUGGGGGCAACCCUGAUCCAGCAAUGCCGCGUGCAGGAAGAAGGCCUUCGGGUUGUAAACUGCUUUUGUACGGAACGAAACGGUCUGGGUUAAUACCCUGGGCUAAUGACGGUACCGUAAGAAUAAGCACCGGCUAACUACGUGCCAGCAGCCGCGGUAAUACGUAGGGUGCGAGCGUUAAUCGGAAUUACUGGGCGUAAAGCGUGCGCAGGCGGUUUUGUAAGACAGGCGUGAAAUCCCCGGGCUCAACCUGGGAAUGGCGCUUGUGACUGCAAAGCUGGAGUGCGGCAGAGGGGGAUGGAAUUCCGCGUGUAGCAGUGAAAUGCGUAGAUAUGCGGAGGAACACCGAUGGCGAAGGCAAUCCCCUGGGCCUGCACUGACGCUCAUGCACGAAAGCGUGGGGAGCAAACAGGAUUAGAUACCCCGGUAGUCC